AGUGAACGCUGGCGGUAGGCCUAACACAUGCAAGUCGAACGGCAGCACAGUAAGAGCUUGCUCUUACGGGUGGCGAGUAGCGGACGGGUGAGGAAUACAUCGGAAUCUACUUUUUCGUGGGGGAUAACGUAGGGAAACUUACGCUAAUACCGCAUACGACCUACGGGUGAAAGCAGGGGAUCUUCGGACCUUGCGCGAUUGAAUGAGCCGAUGUCGGAUUAGCUAGUUGGCGGGGUAAAGGCCCACCAAGGCGACGAUCCGUAGCUGGUCUGAGAGGAUGAUCAGCCACACUGGAACUGAGACACGGUCCAGACUCCUACGGGAGGCAGCAGUGGGGAAUAUUGGACAAUGGGCGCAAGCCUGAUCCAGCCAUACCGCGUGGGUGAAGAAGGCCUUCGGGUUGUAAAGCCCUUUUGUUGGGAAAGAAAAGCAGCAGGUUAAUACCCCGCUGUUCUGACGGUACCCAAAGAAUAAGCACCGGCUAACUCCGUG
Molecule: ribosomal RNA, 492 nt
Filed under: uncultured bacterium
Lineage: Bacteria
Description: partial 16S ribosomal RNA
Rfam family: Bacterial small subunit ribosomal RNA
Source: RNAcentral